UACGUAGGGUGCAAGCGUUAAUCGGAAUUACUGGGCGUAAAGCGUGCGUAGGCGGCUAUGUAAGACAGAUGUGAAAUCCCUGGGCUUAACCUAGGAACUGCAUUUGUGACUGCAUUGCUAGAGUGUGGUAGAGGGAGAUGGAAUUCCGUAUGUAGCGGUGAAAUGCGUAGAUAUGCGGAGGAACACCAAUGGCGAAGGCAAUCUCCUGGACCUGCACUGACGCUCAUGCACGAAAGCGUGGGGAGCAAACAGG
This 253-nucleotide ribosomal RNA is filed under the name uncultured bacterium. RNAcentral describes it as "partial 16S ribosomal RNA". It matches the Rfam family "Bacterial small subunit ribosomal RNA", at positions 524 to 776 of the family's 1533-position model. The record is from RNAcentral.